RNAcentral lists this ribosomal RNA (483 nucleotides) under uncultured bacterium. RNAcentral describes it as "partial 16S ribosomal RNA". It matches the Rfam family "Bacterial small subunit ribosomal RNA", at positions 28 to 523 of the family's 1533-position model. The record is from RNAcentral.
GACGAACGCUGGCGGCGUGCUUAACACAUGCAAGUCGAACGAUGAAGCCGGAGCUUGCUCCGGUGGAUUAGUGGCGAACGGGUGAGUAACACGUGAGCAAUCUGCCCUUGACUCUGGGAUAACUGCGGGAAACGUUAGCUAAUACCGGAUACGACAACUUGGGGCAGCCCAGGGUGUGGAACGAAUUUCGGUCAAGGAUGAGCUCGCGGCCUGUCAGCUAGUUGGUGAGGUAAUGGCUCAACAAGGCGACGACGGGUAGCCGGCUUGAGAGGGUGACCGGCCACACUGAAACUGAGACACGGGCCAGAAUCCUACGGGAGGCAGCAGUGGGGAAUAUUGCACAAUGGGCGAAAGCCUGAUGCAGCAACGCCGCGUGAGGGAUGAAGGCCUUCGGGUUGUAAACCUCUUUUAGCAGGGAAGAAGCGAAAGUGACGGUACCUGCAGAAAAAGCACCGGCUAACUACGUGCCAGCAGCCGCCGCAG